Molecule: ribosomal RNA, 1292 nt
Filed under: uncultured bacterium
Lineage: Bacteria
Description: bacterial SSU rRNA
Rfam family: Bacterial small subunit ribosomal RNA
Source: RNAcentral
UUUAGUGACUGAGUGGCGGACGGGUGAGUAACGCGUGGGUAACCUGCCUUAUACAGGGGGAUAACAGUUAGAAAUGACUGCUAAUACCGCAUAAGCGCACAGGAUUGCAUGAUCUGGUGUGAAAAACUCCGGUGGUAUAAGAUGGACCCGCGUCUGAUUAGCUGGUUGGUGAGGUAACGGCCCACCAAGGCGACGAUCAGUAGCCGACCUGAGAGGGUGACCGGCCACAUUGGGACUGAGACACGGCCCAAACUCCUACGGGAGGCAGCAGUGAGGGAUAUUGGGCAAUGGGGGAAACCCUGACCCAGCAACGCCGCGUGAGGGAUGACGGUUUUCGGAUUGUAAACCUCUGUCCUCUGUGAAGAUAGUGACGGUAGCAGAGGAGGAAGCUCCGGCUAACUACGUGCCAGCAGCCGCGGUAAUACGUAGGGAGCAAGCGUUGUCCGGAUUUACUGGGUGUAAAGGGUGCGUAGGCGGAUUGGCAAGUCAGAAGUGAAAUCCAUGGGCUUAACCCAUGAACUGCUUUUGAAACUGUUAGUCUUGAGUGAAGUAGAGGUAGGCGGAAUUCCCGGUGUAGCGGUGAAAUGCGUAGAGAUCGGGAGGAACACCAGUGGCGAAGGCGGCCUACUGGGCUUUAACUGACGCUGAGGCACGAAAGUGUGGGUAGCAAACAGGAUUAGAUACCCUGGUAGUCCACACUGUAAACGAUGAAUGCUAGGUGUAGGGGGUAUCGACCCCUUCUGUGCCGCAGUCAACACAAUAAGUAAUCCACCUGGGGAGUACGACCGCAAGGUUGAAACUCAAAGGAAUUGACGGGGGCCCGCACAAGCAGUGGAGUAUGUGGUUUAAUUCGAAGCAACGCGAAGAACCUUACCAGGUCUUGACAUCCGAUGCAUAGUGCAGAGAUGCAUGAAGUCCUUCGGGACAUCGAGACAGGUGGUGCAUGGUUGUCGUCAGCUCGUGUCGUGAGAUGUUGGGUUAAGUCCCGCAACGAGCGCAACCCUUAUUGCCAGUUACUACGCAAGAGGACUCUGGCGAGACUGCCGUUGACAAAACGGAGGAAGGUGGGGAUGACGUCAAAUCAUCAUGCCCUUUAUGACCUGGGCUACACACGUACUACAAUGGCGUUUAACAAAGAGAAGCAAGACCGCGAGGUGGAGCAAAACUCAAAAACAACGUCUCAGUUCAGAUUGCAGGCUGCAACUCGCCUGCAUGAAGUCGGAAUUGCUAGUAAUCGCGGAUCAGCAUGCCGCGGUGAAUACGUUCCCGGGCCUUGCACACACAGCCCGUCA